GCGGAUGUGGCGUAAUUGGUAGCCGCGCUAGACUUAGGAUCUAGUGCCGCGAGGCGUGGGGGUUCGAGUCCCUUCAUCCGCA
RNAcentral lists this transfer RNA (82 nucleotides) under Paludibacteraceae bacterium. Its description in RNAcentral is "tRNA-Leu". It matches the Rfam family "tRNA". Rfam says of the family: Transfer RNA (tRNA) molecules are approximately 80 nucleotides in length. Their secondary structure includes four short double-helical elements and three loops (D, anti-codon, and T loops). Lineage: Bacteria; Pseudomonadati; Bacteroidota; Bacteroidia; Bacteroidales; Paludibacteraceae. The record is from RNAcentral.